GGCAAAAAUCACGCGGCCCGGCAAAAUCGAGCGCGGAAGGCGGCGGACCCUUCCUCUUCCCGAUCACACGCGCCUACGCCGCGCGACAAAGACCGCGCUGUCCACCUCCUCUCCUGCGGAAGGCGGCGGACCCUUCGCCGUCCAGUUCGCCCGCCUCUAGAGCCACUCCCGCAUGGCGGCAGCUUCAACGCCCAGAGCGGCCGCCAUCAACCGGCGCGAGUUCGUGCAACGGCGCCGGCGAACCCGUCUUGCGCUGCCAGGUAGCGGCUCGGCCGGUUGAGGCAGGAGGCGGGCCGGCUCGGCUGCCGCCGCCGGGACGCGCCGGGAGCGGGUUCGGCCGGCGACGCCGUGGCCCGCGCCGAGACGACGGUGCUCAAUCUGGAACUCAAUUCGAGCGGAGAUGACUUGUUAUGAUAUUGUCACGGCAAGUACUCAGGAGGACAUGGUCGCCGCAGUAAAAGAAGAAGACGCUACGGGUGUGUUGAUUUGCAUCCCGUGCUCCUAGCCGCAUCCAUGCCGCCCUGCUUGCCUGCUGGAAAUCGAGUUUGCAGCUCUGGAAUUACUGAAAUUUAGUUUGUUUUUCUUCUCUCACAUAGAUUGAUUUCGAGAUGGAAAGCUCCUAGCAAUCGUGAAGACUAGGAACAGGAGUGAUUUGUCUAACACUCUAACGUGAUGUCUUUGCUCGAGGCAAAUGUUGUGGUAACGGUCAUGGCACAUUUUCCCCUUUCCUUUAUUACAGGAAAAGGGACUUUGAAAUUUCUUUUCUCAUUAUUGUUAUUUAAUUAUCUCAUUCAGGCUUAGACCAAUUUUUUCGAUCACUGGCAAUAUAGGUAACUAGGAUUGUUCAGUUCUUGUUCCAUUACAAUGAACUGAAAACAUUGGAAUACUUGUGUUUAGAUUGCCAUUGUACAAUUAGUCAAAAAGAUAAACCUAGAAGCUUUUGCAUAUGCAGUAUGCUUUAUUACCAACACAUAUAUUGUUUUUUGAUUGCUUAAUUUUCAAUAUGUGAUGUUGCCAUAGCGUUAGCAUCGGCAUUAUUUGUUCAGGGAUGCCAUAACAAUACUCAUGUACAGGUGGCGAAUAUUGGUUUAUACUUGAUUGUGUUACCUGCCUUCGGAGCAAGAAUACUGAGACGUUACUCUUCAGGUGAUAGAAGGAAAAAAAAACUUUCUGUCAACACUAAUGAGGUUGUACCAUUUGGAGCAGCCAUGCAGGUAAUGGAUAUGCUUGGUCCCCGCCUUUGGGAUGUGUGGAAUUCAAUGGGAUAGGCGACCUUUGAAGGAGCUGAGGUUGUUCCUUGGUACAUGCAUGCUCCUGUUUCAUCUUCAAAGGAGGGUGGAAGGCACAGGGAAAAGAGAAGUUGAUUUCAGAGAGGUGUCAAGGGAUGAGCUGGAAUUCCUCCUAGAUCAUGCGUUGUGGUUCAAUGCUCUAAACAAAAGGCUAACCAAAUCAUGCCUAUAGUCUAUUCAUAUAUACAUGGCAAUGAUGUAUUUUCAGCAAUCCAUGCCUAUGAAAUUUUCCUAAUCUAUACAUGUGGCCAUUACAUUGUUAUUUUUUUUUGUUUCUGCAUAUUUCUUCCAUUUAUAUGAUGUUAGUUCCAUUUAAUUUAUCAACAUAUCCCAUUGACAUCUAAAUUAAAACACAUUCAAUAUGUGGAAUUGUGUAGAUGGAUUUGCAAGAGAAGAUACGCAAGCUAUUUGCUCGGGCUCCUGGUCUUAUUCUUUUUGAAACAUGGGCCAACUUACUAGUGAUUCAAGACCCACAACUAACAAGUCUACUAGUGAGUUUUUGCAUCACUGCUAGGAGACAAGGUAGAUC
Panicum virgatum (switchgrass) is the source of this 1818-nucleotide long non-coding RNA. RefSeq lists it as uncharacterized. The record is from RefSeq and is a predicted model, not a curated record. NCBI's taxonomy places the organism in Eukaryota, Viridiplantae, Streptophyta, Magnoliopsida, Poales, Poaceae. The transcript has 5 exons.